UCUCUGGUGGCUCAGAUAGUAAAGAAUCUGCCUGCAAUGCAGGAGACCCAGGUUCAAACUCUGGCUCAGGAA
RNAcentral lists this transfer RNA (72 nucleotides) under Bos taurus (domestic cattle). It matches the Rfam family "tRNA". From Rfam's summary of the family: Transfer RNA (tRNA) molecules are approximately 80 nucleotides in length. Their secondary structure includes four short double-helical elements and three loops (D, anti-codon, and T loops). Further hydrogen bonds mediate the characteristic L-shaped molecular structure. tRNAs have two regions of fundamental functional importance: the anti-codon, which is responsible for specific mRNA codon recognition, and the 3' end, to which the tRNAs corresponding amino acid is attached (by aminoacyl-tRNA synthetases). tRNAs cope with the degeneracy of the genetic code in two manners: having more than one tRNA (with a specific anti-codon) for a particular amino acid; and 'wobble' base-pairing, i.e. permitting non-standard base-pairing at the 3rd anti-codon position. Lineage: Eukaryota; Metazoa; Chordata; Mammalia; Artiodactyla; Bovidae. The record is from Rfam by way of RNAcentral. RNAcentral also lists the same sequence under 5 other names.